Molecule: long non-coding RNA, 2387 nt
Filed under: Salmo salar (Atlantic salmon)
Lineage: Eukaryota; Metazoa; Chordata; Actinopteri; Salmoniformes; Salmonidae
Description: lncRNA (ENSSSAG00000121584.1)
Source: RNAcentral
CCGGUUUUGUCUCACCAGGGGUGAUGGUCGGAUUCGCGUUUAUCGUCAAAGGAAUAAGCGUUACACCGAGGCCUGUACUCUGGAGCGGGAUCGAUUUGGAGGUGGAGGGUCCGUCAUGGUCUGGGGCGGUGUGUCACAGCAUCAUCGGACUGAGCUUGUUGUCAUUGCAGGCAAUCUCAACGCUGUGCGCUCAUCCUGACAUGACCCUCCAGCAUGACAAUGCCACCAGCCAUACUGCUCGUUCUGUGCGUGAUUUCCGGCAACACAGGAAUGUCAGUGUUCUGCCAUGGCCAGUGAAGAGCCCGGAUCUCAAUACCAUUGAGCACGUCUGGGACCUGUUGGAUCGGAGGGUGAGGGCUGGGGCCAUUCCCCCCCAGAAAUGUCCAGGAACUUGCAGGUGCCUUGGUGGAAGAGUGGGGUAACAUCUCACAGCAAGAACUGGAAAAUCUGGUGCAGUCCAUGAGGAGAAGCACCUGCAGUACUUAAUGCAGCUGGUGGCCACACCAGAUACUGACUGUUACUUUUGAUUUUGACCCUACCUUUGUUCAGGGACACAUUAUUCAAUUUCUGUUAGUCACAUGUCUGUGGAACUUGUUCAAUUUAUAUCUCAGUUGUCGAAACUUGUUAUGUUCAUACAAAUAUUUACACAUGUUAAGUUUUCUGAAAAUAAACGCAGUUGACAGUAAGAGGACGUUUCUUUUUUUGCUGAGUUUAUAUCUUGUAAUGGUAACCUAGGUAUUAUUGAAAAGAAGUGGAUAUUCAACCGGCAGCAGAAAUGUUUACAUUUAGACAUAGGGGUCAAAAUUAAUUAAGGUUAGGUGUAGUUUCAGUAAGGUCAAGGAAAUGCAUAACAUUUCAAAUCGGGUUAGUGUACUGCCGUGAUUUUCUACCGGUCGAUAACACUGCCACUUGCCGGGAUGAGAACGCACUCAUAAAGACAUCCAAGGGUCUUUCCUGGUUUAAGGUUAAAUAAAUACCACCGGGUGUGUAUCCUCUGGCUUGUGAGUGACCUUUACUUGCCUUAUUACAAUGUAAUCAUCUACAAUUAUGUUAAUUAUAGAAUCAGCCGACUGUAAUCAUCUGUAAUUAUGUUAUGGCAUCAGCCGUAUUCCAGUCAACAGACACUGGUAUGUACUAAUGCUGCAGAACCGCUGAGGGGUGUGUGUGUGUGUGGGGGGGGGGGGGUGUCUCUCAAGAUGAAGUUUUCAUCCCUCUAGUAUUCUGUCACAUACUGGUAUAGUAAUUUACUUUUCUUGUUCCUUCAUACUGGAGAAGUCACAAACACACACACAGCUCCACAGGAACCAGUAAUCUGAAGCCAACAGAGGUAGUUAGCACAGAUGUCUUGUGUGUUAAUUAUUUAACCAACACAUGAUUAUGUAAUUUAUCACAGUUACACACACACACAAACACACACAGGGAAAAACACAUUGCUGUUUACCUUUACUCCCCCACACUAAGGUGAGAAAUAACCUGGAAGCAUUUCGGCUCCACUGUGUGUUUGACCUCAGUGCGUUUGGGCUGCAGUGAGUCACCUGAUACGCAGGUUUGACAUUACAGUGUGGAAAAUGCAUUGUGGGAAAGCUCACUAGAAGAGGAACGUAGUGUGUAGUAUAUGUAUAUGGGUGUACUCUAUGUGUCUGUGUGAAUGUACUCUAUGUGGCAGGUGCGGCAGGGUAGCCUAGUGGUUAGAGUGUUGGACCAGUAACCGAAAGGUUGCAAGAUUGAAUCCCCGAGCUGAUAAGGGUUGAGAGAGAGUGCAAUAGACUAGUGCUGCUGCAGACAGGAUUUCUCUCAAACUCCUGAUCCACUUUCUAGUUUACCAUCCAGCGUCCAGUGUGCUGAUCCAGGCCAGGGUUUAUCUGCUGCCCAGAGUCAGGCCCAGUCCUGUGGCUCUGUUCUAUGGCCAGGAGGUGAGUCAGAGAGAGGGGGUGGAGAUGAGAGCGAUUGAGAAAGGGAAGUUGGGUGUGGCCCUGAAAGCCCUUGGCACAUUCCUAGAAGAGACUGUGCCCUCAAUACCACCGUGCACACCUUUCCAGCUGCCAACAUCUAAACACAAAUAUCCAGGUGAGCAGCAUACAUACACUAAGUCUACGACACUCUCAUUCAUACACGUGUAUGGUAGUAUACUCACACUGUACUCAAAUAAACGUUUAAUCAUACACACCCAACAGCAUUAUAUUUGCUUAACCAGGUCUAGAGUAGGUGUGUACAGGUAACAGGGCAAGGUGCACCCAGGUAUGUGGGCAAACAUCCAGAUCGUGAGACACCCUGGGGAGCGAACGCUGAACACACAUCCAUAUGUGUGUGUGUGUGUGUGUGUGUGUGUGGAUGUAGGAUAUCAUGGGAGUGGGACUGAUCUGACAGGACACAGGACAGCCCCCCCC